Molecule: ribosomal RNA, 1529 nt
Filed under: Acinetobacter baumannii
Lineage: Bacteria; Pseudomonadati; Pseudomonadota; Gammaproteobacteria; Moraxellales; Moraxellaceae
Description: bacterial SSU rRNA
Rfam family: Bacterial small subunit ribosomal RNA
Source: RNAcentral
UAACUGAAGAGUUUGAUCAUGGCUCAGAUUGAACGCUGGCGGCAGGCUUAACACAUGCAAGUCGAGCGGGGGAAGGUAGCUUGCUACUGGACCUAGCGGCGGACGGGUGAGUAAUGCUUAGGAAUCUGCCUAUUAGUGGGGGACAACAUCUCGAAAGGGAUGCUAAUACCGCAUACGUCCUACGGGAGAAAGCAGGGGAUCUUCGGACCUUGCGCUAAUAGAUGAGCCUAAGUCGGAUUAGCUAGUUGGUGGGGUAAAGGCCUACCAAGGCGACGAUCUGUAGCGGGUCUGAGAGGAUGAUCCGCCACACUGGGACUGAGACACGGCCCAGACUCCUACGGGAGGCAGCAGUGGGGAAUAUUGGACAAUGGGGGGAACCCUGAUCCAGCCAUGCCGCGUGUGUGAAGAAGGCCUUAUGGUUGUAAAGCACUUUAAGCGAGGAGGAGGCUACUUUAGUUAAUACCUAGAGAUAGUGGACGUUACUCGCAGAAUAAGCACCGGCUAACUCUGUGCCAGCAGCCGCGGUAAUACAGAGGGUGCGAGCGUUAAUCGGAUUUACUGGGCGUAAAGCGUGCGUAGGCGGCUUAUUAAGUCGGAUGUGAAAUCCCCGAGCUUAACUUGGGAAUUGCAUUCGAUACUGGUGAGCUAGAGUAUGGGAGAGGAUGGUAGAAUUCCAGGUGUAGCGGUGAAAUGCGUAGAGAUCUGGAGGAAUACCGAUGGCGAAGGCAGCCAUCUGGCCUAAUACUGACGCUGAGGUACGAAAGCAUGGGGAGCAAACAGGAUUAGAUACCCUGGUAGUCCAUGCCGUAAACGAUGUCUACUAGCCGUUGGGGCCUUUGAGGCUUUAGUGGCGCAGCUAACGCGAUAAGUAGACCGCCUGGGGAGUACGGUCGCAAGACUAAAACUCAAAUGAAUUGACGGGGGCCCGCACAAGCGGUGGAGCAUGUGGUUUAAUUCGAUGCAACGCGAAGAACCUUACCUGGCCUUGACAUACUAGAAACUUUCCAGAGAUGGAUUGGUGCCUUCGGGAAUCUAGAUACAGUGCUGCUGUCGUCAGCUCGUGUCGUGAGAUGUUGGGUUAAGUCCCGCAACGAGCGCAACCCUUUUCCUUACUUGCCAGCAUUUCGGAUGGGAACUUUAAGGAUACUGCCAGUGACAAACUGGAGGAAGCGGGGACGACGUCAAUCAUCAUGGCCCUUACGGCCAGGGCUACACACGUGCUAUAAUGGUCGGUACAAAGGGUUGCUACACAGCGAUGUGAUGCUAAUCUCAAAAAGCCGAUCGUAGUCCGGAUUGGAGUCUGCAACUCGACUCCAUGAAGUCGGAAUCGCUAGUAAUCGCGGAUCAGAAUGCCGCGGUGAAUACGUUCCCGGGCCUUGUACACACCGCCCGUCACACCAUGGGAGUUUGUUGCACCAGAAGUAGCUAGCCUAACUGCAAAGAGGGCGGUUACCACGGUGUGGCCGAUGACUGGGGUGAAGUCGUAACAAGGUAGCCGUAGGGGAACCUGCGGCUGGAUCACCUCCUUA